RNAcentral lists this ribosomal RNA (304 nucleotides) under uncultured bacterium. RNAcentral describes it as "partial 16S ribosomal RNA". It matches the Rfam family "Bacterial small subunit ribosomal RNA", at positions 509 to 807 of the family's 1533-position model. The record is from RNAcentral.
CAGCAGUCGCCGCGGUAAUACGGAGGGUGCAAGCGUUAAUCGGAAUUACUGGGCGUAAAGCGCACGCAGGCGGUUUGUUAAGUCAGAUGUGAAAUCCCCGAGCUUAACUUGGGAACUGCAUUUGAAACUGGCAAGCUAGAGUCUUGUAGAGGGGGGUAGAAUUCCAGGUGUAGCGGUGAAAUGCGUAGAGAUCUGGAGGAAUACCGGUGGCGAAGGCGGCCCCCUGGACAAAGACUGACGCUCAGGUGCGAAAGCGUGGGGAGCAAACAGGAUUAGAUACCCGCGUAGUCCCUGUCUCUUAUAC